UGAACGCUAGCGGCAGGCCUAACACAUGCAAGUAGAACGGUAACAGAGAGAGCUUGCUCUCUGCUGACGAGUUGCGAACGGGUGCGUAACGCGUAUGCAACCUACCCAUAACAGGGGAAUAGCCCAUAGAAAUGUGGAUUAAUACCCCAUAAUAUCAUAGAUUGGCAUCAUGAAAUGAUUAAAACUCCGGUGGUUAUGGAUGGGCAUGCGUGACAUUAGCUAGUUGGUGAGGUAACUGCUCACCAAGGCGACGAUGUCUAGGGGUUCUGAGAGGAUGAUCCCCCACACUGGUACUGAGACACGGACCAGACUCCUACGGGAGGCAGCAGUGAGGAAUAUUGCGCAAUGGAGGAAACUCUGACGCAGCCAUGCCGCGUGCAGGAAGACUGCCCUAUGGGUUGUAAACUGCUUUUAUAUAGGAAGAACUACAGCUACGUGUAGCUGUUUGACGGUACUAUACGAAUAAGGACCGG
RNAcentral lists this ribosomal RNA (473 nucleotides) under uncultured bacterium. RNAcentral's name for it is "bacterial SSU rRNA". It matches the Rfam family "Bacterial small subunit ribosomal RNA", at positions 30 to 496 of the family's 1533-position model. The record is from RNAcentral.